CCAGGCUCGAACGGCAUCUGACAUCCUACGAAAGUAGGCUCCCGCAAGGGCAGGUGUCGAGGUGCUGCAUGGCUGUCGUCAGCUCGUGUCGUGAGAUGUUGGGUUAAGUCCCGCAACGAGCGCAACCCUUGUCUUCUGUUGCCAUCGAGUUAUGCCGGGCACUCUGAAGAGACUGCCGGUGACAAACCGGAGGAAGGUGGGGAUGACGUCAAGUCAGCAUGGCCUUUAUGUCUGGGGCCACACACGUGCUACAAUGGCAGGUACAAACCGUCGCGAGACCGCAAGGUGGAGCUAAUCGGAGAAAGCCUGUCUCAGUUCGGAUUGUAGGCUGCAACUCGCCUGCAUGAAGUUGGAAUCGCUAGUAAUCGCGGAUCAGCACGCCGCGGUGAAUACGUUCCC
RNAcentral lists this ribosomal RNA (399 nucleotides) under uncultured bacterium. Its description in RNAcentral is "bacterial SSU rRNA". It matches the Rfam family "Bacterial small subunit ribosomal RNA", at positions 975 to 1375 of the family's 1533-position model. The record is from RNAcentral.